GAGCAUGAGCACUGAGACUAGACUUCUAAUCGAGAAGGAAGUAAGAGAAUUACUUGAAAGGGCUUACAACAAUGCGAAAACUAUUCUCACUACCCAUAAUAAAGAACUUCAUGCUCUUGCUAAUGCAUUGCUUGAGAAGGAAACACUAACCGGAGGUCAGAUCAAAGCCUUGCUUGCCCAGGUCAAAUCUCAACAAACUCAGCAGAAGCAACAUCAAUCAGUAUCAGUUGAAAGUACACCACAGUCCAAUCCAAGACCUCCACAGAGUCCAAGUGCAGCAGCAGCUGCGGCCGCUGCUGCUGCAGCCGCUGCAGCUACAGCUGCUGCCAAAACCAAAGGUAUUGCUCCAGUAGGAUCUUAGCACAG
RNAcentral lists this unclassified non-coding RNA (366 nucleotides) under Hevea brasiliensis (rubber tree). The record is from RNAcentral. Lineage: Eukaryota; Viridiplantae; Streptophyta; Magnoliopsida; Malpighiales; Euphorbiaceae.